UUUCCGUAGGUGAACCUGCGGAAGGAUCAUUAAUGUGUUUGGGCCUCACGGCUCUUCAUUCCGACGCUGUGCGCCUUCGGGCCGCACGCUGAGGGAGCUUAUAUCCACCCCUGUGCACACACACGGUGGUGAGCUGGGUAACGGCUCGCCGCUGAUCUUUACACACGUCUAAAAGUCAUUGUAUGUUUAUUUGAGAUAAAAACACAACUUUCAGCAACGGAUCUCUUGGCUCUC
RNAcentral lists this unclassified non-coding RNA (234 nucleotides) under plant metagenome. RNAcentral's name for it is "partial contains small subunit ribosomal RNA, internal transcribed spacer 1, and 5.8S ribosomal RNA". The record is from RNAcentral.